Molecule: ribosomal RNA, 253 nt
Filed under: uncultured bacterium
Lineage: Bacteria
Description: partial 16S ribosomal RNA
Rfam family: Bacterial small subunit ribosomal RNA
Source: RNAcentral
UACGUAGGUGGCAAGCGUUAUCCGGAAUUAUUGGGCGUAAAGCGCGCGCAGGCGGUUUCUUAAGUCUGAUGUGAAAGCCCACGGCUCAACCGUGGAGGGUCAUUGGAAACUGGGGAACUUGAGUGCAGAAGAGAGAAGCGGAAUUCCACGUGUAGCGGUGAAAUGCGUAGAGAUGUGGAGGAACACCAGUGGCGAAGGCGGCUUUUUGGUCUGUAACUGACGCUGAGGCGCGAAAGCGUGGGGAGCAAACAGG